This 234-nucleotide ribosomal RNA is filed under the name uncultured bacterium. RNAcentral describes it as "partial 16S ribosomal RNA". It matches the Rfam family "Bacterial small subunit ribosomal RNA", at positions 118 to 347 of the family's 1533-position model. The record is from RNAcentral.
UGAGCAAUCUGCCCUUCUCUUUGGAAUAAGCGUUGGAAACGACGUCUAAUGCCGAAUACGACCUCCUUUCGCAUGAUCGGAGGUGGAAAGCUCCGGCGGAGAAGGAUGAGCUCGCGGCCUAUCAGCUAGUUGGUGUGGGUAAUGGCCACCAAGGCGACGACGGGUAGCCGGCCUGAGAGGGUGACCGGCCACACGUGGGACUGAGACACGGCCCAGACUCCGUACGGGGAGNAG